Non-coding RNA from Arachis ipaensis, 409 nucleotides. Lineage: Eukaryota; Viridiplantae; Streptophyta; Magnoliopsida; Fabales; Fabaceae. The record is from RefSeq and is a predicted model, not a curated record.
CUUUUUCGUUCUCUUCUCCCCUGCUCUCUGAGUCUCUUCAAACUCCCCCACUCCCACCCCCAAUCCACUUCGUCCUAAAGUGCAAAUAUGAUCCUGAAAGUGGAGAAAAUCGGGUCAAGAUUGCUCACAUCCCAAAUAUAUCCCUAUCAGAUUGAUCCCCUCGAAAGGGGAUUCUUGCAGCAAUCUCUCCUUUCUCCUGAUGACCAUGUCGAAGGGAGCAGGUAGAUUUGCUGGGAAAGUUAUUUCAAGGCAUGGUAGAGAUUACUUUGUUUCUGCCUUCAUAUGAGAGUUUUUCCUACAUUUACUAUAAGGUUGGUGAUGGAUUAAUAUAAUAUGGCUUGAGGCUAUUAAAAGUGCAAUAAGGUAAUAGGAGGUUGGAUAUGAAUUGGUGUGUGUGAGGAGUUUUUUU